This 1868-nucleotide long non-coding RNA is filed under the name Nicotiana benthamiana. RNAcentral describes it as "long non-coding RNA (NBEN_LNC009129)". Lineage: Eukaryota; Viridiplantae; Streptophyta; Magnoliopsida; Solanales; Solanaceae. The record is from RNAcentral.
UCAGAACCUAGGGUUUCCGGUGUUGGACCUAGGGUUUUCUUUGUUGAUUGAAGGACGAUCUUCUCCGGUCGCGAAGAAGGAGGGUAACUCUGUCCUUAUUUUAAGUAUUGUAUGCUUUGUAUGUGACUAUCUGGUUCCGCAUGUGAUUAUCUGGUUCCGUUACAUUUUGCUUGUCGAAACUGUUUUUCUUUCAAGCUGGUUCAUUAAUCAUGGCUUCUAAUACCAAUGCUGGUACCUCCUCCUCGCUAGACUCUACCAGCCCCCUCUUUGUCUAUUCCUGUGAUGUCCAUGGGGUCUCUCUUGUCCCUACUCCCUUCUCGGGUAGUGGUUAUGGGCGUUGGAGGAGAAAAAAGAUUGUCGCAUUAUCUGCUAAAAACAAAAUCGGAUUUGUUGACGGCUCAUGUCCUCGACCAACAACUAAUGUGGCUCAAAAGAGGCUGUGGGAUAGAUGUAAUAACAUGGUCAUUUCCUGGUUGACCUCUUCCAUAUCUCCUCAGAUUGCUGAUAGUUUGCAGUAUUCCGAUACUGCACAGAGUAAAGGCUGUGGGAUAGAUGUAAUACCAUGGUCAUUUCUUGGUUGACCUCUUCCCUAUCUCCUCAUAUUGCUGAUGGUGUACAGUAUUCCGAUACUGCAGAAAGUAUAUGGUCCCAAAUUGAUAAAAGAUAUGGUACCCCUAACAAGACCAAUAUUUUUGAAUUAAAAAGGGAACUUUCCCCCACAUCUCAAGGCUGCUUAGACGUAGCCUCAUACUUUAACAAGCUCAAAGUCCUGUGGGAUGAGUUGGGCACAAUGUGCACAAAUCAUGGGCAGAGAUGUGUGUGUGCUGCUAAAAAUGGAAUAAUUCAGGAAGAUGAUGAAAAUAAGGUAUUCUAGUUUCUAAUGGGGUUAAAUGAAGCAUACAUGGGGGUUAGGAGUAAUUUGUUGAUGAUGCAGCCUUUUCCUUCCCUUGACAGUGUUUACAAUAUAGUGAUUAAUGAUGAGAAACAGAGACAAGUUCAAUCUAUUUCCCAAAUCAGUCCAGACUCCAUGUCUUUUAAUGCUAAUACAAAUAAGCACUCAGCUGUAAUCUAUUUCUCAAAUCAGUCCAGACUCUAUGUCUUUUAAUGCUAAUGCAAAUAAGCACCCAGUUGGGUUUAAUCAGGCCACAGUGCCUAGUCCCCUUAUUUUCAGACCCAGAGUUAAUUUUGAGCAAAGCAGAGGGCCCUUAUUUUGCAGAUACUGCAAGAAAUCUGGGCACUUAAUUGAUAAGUGCUACAAGAGAGGGCCCUUAUUUUGCAGAUACUGCAAGAAACCUGGGUACUUAAUUGAUAAGUGCUACAAGAUCCAUGGGUUUCCUCAAAACAUAAAAUACAACAAGGGAAGGAAAUCUGCAACUGCUCAUAUCUCCACUGGUGAGGAAAGUGUGUCUGUUAAUCAUGGGAAUCCUAAUAUGUCUGUUCCUCUUGUGGAUCCUCCUGCCAGCCAUCACCAUGUUGCACACAUAGAUGGUCACAACUCUGUGAUACCAAGGUUGAGCAGACACCAAUAUGAUCAAUUGAUGAGCUUGUUGCAACAGGCCCAGUUAAGGGAUUCCAGUGAUCAAGCUCCUCCUCCCAUGCAUGCUGCUAAUUUUGCUGGUACUAUGUUGACUGAGAGUCUUGUUUCUGAUUCCAAAUUAUGCAUGCUUACACACAUUAAUUCUGUCACCUGGAUCAUAGAUUCAGGGGUAUCUAAUCAUAUGACACAUGAUAAGAACCUACUCUUUAACAUCAUACCUUUGACUGUUCCAUAUCUUGUAACUUUUCGUAAUGGUUACAAAGUGAAUGUAACUUGUACAUGUUCUUUUGCAUUAACUUCUUCCCUUACUCUUCACAAUGUGCUUCUGGUU